GACGAACGCUGGCGGCGUGCUUAACACAUGCAAGUCGAACGGAAAGGCCCUGCUUUUGCGGGGUGCUCGAGUGGCGAAGGGGGGAGUAACACGCGAGGAACCCGCCCUUGACUUUGGGAUAACUUCAGGAAACUGGGGCUAAAACCGGAGAGAAGAUCCUGCUGCACGGGGUGGGUAGGAAAGUGUCGGUGGUUGUGGAUGGAAUAGCUGGUUAUGAGCUGCAUGGUGGGGUAGUUACUUACCAAGGCUUUGACGGGUAGCCGGCCUGGGAGGUUGACCGGCGACAUUGCGACUGAGAUACGCACCAGACUCCUACGGGAGGCAGCAGUGGGGAAUCUUGCACAGUGGGCGGACGCCUGAUGCAGCAGCGCCGCGUGCGGGAUGACGGCCUUCGAGUUGUAAACCGCUUUCGCAUGUAACGAAGCGUGAGUGACGGUAAUGGGUAAAGAAGCACCGGCUAACUACGUG
This 468-nucleotide ribosomal RNA is filed under the name uncultured bacterium. Its description in RNAcentral is "partial 16S ribosomal RNA". It matches the Rfam family "Bacterial small subunit ribosomal RNA", at positions 28 to 507 of the family's 1533-position model. The record is from RNAcentral.